Long non-coding RNA from Sinocyclocheilus anshuiensis, 1836 nucleotides. NCBI's taxonomy places the organism in Eukaryota, Metazoa, Chordata, Actinopteri, Cypriniformes, Cyprinidae. The record is from Ensembl.
GUGUGAUUUGUUAAACAAGCUCUUCCAUUGGUUUUGGAAAAGGUUGGCAUGUUUCUUGGCACUAAUGGUGUGUUUAAUGGAUUUCUGUCCACAGUUUGGCUUUGAUAUCAAUCAACUAGGUUUCAUUUAGCAUCUAACCAAAUAUAUGAAUCAGGUGGUUUUGUGUUUUGUAAAGUACUGUCUGUGAGUAGUUUGUGGUUAUGUUUCUUUUAUCUGCCCAGUUGCUAUAUUCAUUUACUCUUGAUUUUUUUAACGGAAAUCCAAGACCCCCUUUAGAGGUUAGACUGAGUAAUUACUCUGGAUUUGUAAUCUCUGUUUACCUGCUGUUGAUGGAUUUGAUUAAAUACAAGAGUCAUUGCUUUCCUGUUCACUUUCAAAUAGUUAUUUGUCUAAGUCGACUGGUAAGUUUACAACUUGUAUGUGAAUCAGUAGUCCUUGUUCUCUAAAUCAUUACUCCUCUUCCUUUUUACAGGGAAAACUUUGUGUUUUGUUUCAGAGUUUGAAAUUGCCUAUGAUCUCUAUUGUUUUUGUUUUUGUCUUUCUUUGCAGUAGAGUGCAGCACUGAGUUUCCUUUUCCUUUUGUCCUGUUUAAAAAUAAUAAAAGCUGAGAUAAAACCAAUGACGUGUAUUCUUUGUAUAUUUGGUCAUAUAUAUAUAUAUAUAUUAGUACAAAGAAAAAAGAAGAAAUGAAAAUGAAAAGAAAUGAAAGAAAAAUAAGUUCCAUAAGUGCUUUAAAUAAAGUCAUUUAAACGUCAGGGCUGCAGAUAAAUUCAGAGAAUGAAAUCAUUAGGGAAACCACUCACUAAGCAUUAAAACACAAAAACAGACAUGUCUGCUGAACUUCCUGUGCAUUGGGUGGAGCUCUCUGGAGAUGAAAAGAGAGUGAUAGUAGCGAGUGAGUGCAGCACAAGCAACGAUUUGAGGAGAGCUGUGUAACUUGUCUUGGAUAUUUAAAGACGUUUAAUAAGCGCACCAUGAGAGCCUGCCUAUUUCUCUGGAUUUUAUGGGAUCAGACUUUAGGUGAGUUGUGCUCCUGUAGAAGGUAUUCUCUGCUCAUCUAUACCAUCACAGUAGGAGUGAAUCUGCUCCUACUCUCGGCCAUCGCUCUCUUUGUGACACAUUAUAAAAAGCCACAUGCUCAGCCAGAGCGUCAAACCACAGUUCCAAUUUAUGAAGACAUGUCAAGUGUGAAAGGAAAAGGAAGCAGUCCUCGGAUCUGUCCACCAGACCCCGAAACAUCUGCUCCAGGGUGGAAGACUAUGCUGGAGAACCUCUAUGGAUCCCCCAAUCGGACAAAUGUGGAACAGCAUCAGGAAAAAGAAUCGUCAUAAAAUUCAGCUUAGUUGUGAAUUAAGCUAUGCAGUGUAUUCAUUUCCAGGGUCAUGCUAAAGUUUAUAAGGAAUAGUGCCAUUUGAUGUUUUGGUAUUAUAGAGACUCCUGAGACCCUCACAGAAACCUCUCCUGCCUCGUUCUUUUCAGAAACCGAGAAACAAAAUAAUUGCAACACCGUAAAUGAUGAAAGCAGAAUUAACAUACAGUUUCAUGUUAAAAUAUUAACAUAGUUACAUGUUAUAAUUUUAUAUGCUGAGCCUGGUAAUCUCCAGUCUCAUCCUGCACCGUUAGCUGAACAGUAGAUUAACAUUGGUGGACUUGAACUUGGACUGCGUAUUUGAAACAACAUAGCUACCUUCUGAUGUUCAUUCAUGUUUAUUCCAUGCUAUAAAUAGUAGUAAAAUAUUAAGAGAUAAUCGGUUCAGGUGCCGUUUGAACUGAGGCGCUACAGUGAUCCGUCACAACACAUUAAAGAGCCACAAAACGGUAUUUAUUGUUUGAAUU